Molecule: non-coding RNA, 103 nt
Organism: Chelonoidis abingdonii (Abingdon island giant tortoise)
Lineage: Eukaryota; Metazoa; Chordata; Testudines; Testudinidae
Source: RefSeq, a predicted model, not a curated record
CCCCUGUGCCAGAUGUGGCGUCGGGAGUGGGAGCGCCGACGGGACUUGGAGCGUCUGUGGGACUGUGAUCAUGAACGGUGCUGCUCUGCUGUGCUGACAGAGG